This 1101-nucleotide long non-coding RNA is filed under the name Canis lupus familiaris (dog). RNAcentral's name for it is "lncRNA (ENSCAFG00040014288.1)". The record is from RNAcentral. Lineage: Eukaryota; Metazoa; Chordata; Mammalia; Carnivora; Canidae.
CCCCCCCGGGCCCCCCGCGGCUCUCCUCCCCCCCACCCCCGACCCGGGCGCGACCCCGGGGUCCCCCAGCAGGAGGGCGGCCCUGGAGGAGCGGGUCCCCCGGGGGAGGCAGGAGAGGCAGGGACCCCGCGCGCCCCCGACCCAGGGCGCGACCUCGGGGUCCCCCGCGGGAGGGCGGCCCGGGAGGAGCGGGUCCCGGGGAGGGAGGGAGGGAGGGAGGAGAGCGGGGACCCCCGCCCGCGCGGUCCAGGGGCGCCCCGGGGAGGGCAGCGGCGGGCGGGGGUGGACGCGGGGCGCCGAGCUCACCUGGCGGCCGGCGUCCCGGAGCGGAGGCUGCCCCCGCCUGGCCCCCGCGUGCUUCCCGGAGCCGGGCGGCCUCGAGCCCGCCGCAUGGACGGCCGCCGCCUCCUCCGCCUCCGCCUCCUCCUCCUCCUCCUCCUCCGCCGCCGCCGCCGCCUCCGCCGCCUGCACGGGCUCCCGCUGCGCCUUGGUCCGGCGUCGGGGCGAGCGGGCGGCGGGCGGCUGCGGUGCGCGCGGAGAGCCGGGCCCCGAGUGUGCGACCGGCCCUGCGGGGACCCGCGCGGCCUCCCCGUCCCUCCCCCGCCCCCGCCCCCCGCCCCGCUCCGGCCUCCCGCUGUCAUGGGGCCGCGCCUGCCGCCGCCUGGCGGCCGCCGCGGGAAGGGCCGGCCCGCGCCCCCCACCCCGCCGCGACCCCCGGGCCCGGCGCCCCCACCCCCACCCCGACCCCCGGAGAACCCGCAGCACCCGGAAACCCGAGGGCGGCCUAGACGGGAGGGCGGCGAGGGCCCGAGGGAGCAAGCGCGGCCGGUGGGCGGGGAUGCGCGGCGGGAGCCCGACAGGGGCCCAGGCGGGAGCCCCGAAGGUCCCAGACGGACCCGCGCAUCCUUGUGUUUGGAACAAUCACUCUGGCAACAGGAUAGGCCUGAGGCUGAGCCCAGGAACCAAGGAAAGUCUCCCUGGGAGCCCGAGCAGGGAAGAAGGCCUGACUCCAAAGGGCGCCCGGGUCGCCCUCACUCCUGUGCUCACGCACAAGGUCACAAGGCGAUAAUAUUCACAGGUCGAAGGCAUCACCCAGAUUGA